AACGAACGCUGGCGGCAUGCCUAACACAUGCAAGUCGAACGAGACCUUCGGGUCUAGUUGCGCACGGGUGCGUAACGCGUGGGAACCUGCCCUUAGGUUCGGAAUAACUCCCCGAAAGGGGUGCUAAUACCGGAUAAUUUCUUCUGACCAAAGAUUUAUCGCCUUUGGAUGGGCCCGCGUUGGAUUAGCUAGUUGGUAGGGUAAAAGCCUACCAAGGCGACGAUCCAUAGCUGGUCUGAGAGGAUGAUCAGCCACACUGGGACUGAGACACGGCCCAGACUCCUACGGGAGGAAGAAGUGGGGAAUAUUGGACAAUGGGCGAAAGAAUGAUCCAGCAAUGCCGCGUGAGUGAUGAAGGACUUAGGGUUGUAAAGCUCUUUUACCCGGGAUGAUAAUGACAGUACCGGGAGAAUAAGCUCCGGCUAACUCCGUG
Molecule: ribosomal RNA, 433 nt
Filed under: uncultured bacterium
Lineage: Bacteria
Description: partial 16S ribosomal RNA
Rfam family: Bacterial small subunit ribosomal RNA
Source: RNAcentral